UGCUAGUGCUGCCUCGGGACUGAACC
This 26-nucleotide non-coding RNA is filed under the name Mus musculus (house mouse). Lineage: Eukaryota; Metazoa; Chordata; Mammalia; Rodentia; Muridae. The record is from RNAcentral.